CCUCGGGACGCAGCAGUGGGGAAUAUUGGGCAAUGGGCGCAAGCCUGACCCAGCAACGCCGCGUGAAGGAAGAAGGCUUUCGGGUUGUAAACUUCUUUUAUGAGGGACGAAACAAAUGACGGUACCUCAUGAAUAAGCCACGGCUAACUACGUGCCAGCAGCCGCGGUAAUACGUAGGUGGCAAGCGUUAUCCGGAUUUACUGGGUGUAAAGGGCGUGUAGGCGGGACUGCAAGUCAGAUGUGAAAAUUAUGGGCUCAACCCAUAACCUGCAUUUGAAACUGUAGUUCUUGAGUGAUGGAGAGGG
RNAcentral lists this ribosomal RNA (305 nucleotides) under uncultured bacterium. RNAcentral's name for it is "bacterial SSU rRNA". It matches the Rfam family "Bacterial small subunit ribosomal RNA", at positions 339 to 658 of the family's 1533-position model. The record is from RNAcentral.